GGUGGUGAUUCCAAUGUUGGUUAUUGGAGUUGAGCUGUAAACUCAAUGGUAUCAUCCUUCAUAGGUUCAAUUCCUAUCACCAUCA
Molecule: transfer RNA, 85 nt
Filed under: Eremothecium sinecaudum
Lineage: Eukaryota; Fungi; Ascomycota; Saccharomycetes; Saccharomycetales; Saccharomycetaceae
Description: tRNA-Tyr
Rfam family: tRNA
About the family: Transfer RNA (tRNA) molecules are approximately 80 nucleotides in length.
Source: RNAcentral